GGUCCGGUAGCUCAGCAGGUAGAGCAGUGGACUGAAAAUCCACGUGUCGCUGGUUCAACUCCGGCCCGGACCACCA
This 76-nucleotide transfer RNA is filed under the name Erysipelotrichia bacterium. RNAcentral's name for it is "tRNA-Phe". It matches the Rfam family "tRNA". Rfam says of the family: Transfer RNA (tRNA) molecules are approximately 80 nucleotides in length. The record is from RNAcentral. Lineage: Bacteria; Bacillati; Bacillota; Erysipelotrichia.